AUACGGAGGAUGCAAGCGUUAUCCGGAUUUAUUGGGUUUAAAGGGUGCGUAGGCGGAUGAUUAAGCGUGAGGUGAAAUGCCACUGCUCAACAGUGGAACUGCCUCGCGAACUGGUUGUCUUGAAUGCUCCUGCCGUGGGAGGAAUGUGUGGUGUAGCGGUGAAAUGCAUAGAGAUCACACAGAACACCGAUUGCGAAGGCAUCUCACGAAGGGGUGAUUGACGCUGAGGCACGAAAGCGUGGGGAUCAAACAGGAUUAGAUCCCCUGGUAGUCCACGCAGUAAACGAUGAUAACUAACCGCUGGGUCGUAGUGAUUCAGUGGCCAAGCGAAAGCGAUAAGUUAUCCACCUGGGGAGUACGACCGCAAGGUUGAAACUCAAAGGAAUUGACGGGG
This 394-nucleotide ribosomal RNA is filed under the name uncultured bacterium. RNAcentral describes it as "partial 16S ribosomal RNA". It matches the Rfam family "Bacterial small subunit ribosomal RNA", at positions 523 to 918 of the family's 1533-position model. The record is from RNAcentral.